UACGGAGGGUGCAAGCGUUGUCCGGAAUCACUGGGCGUAAAGGGCGCGUAGGCGGCUCAUGAAGGCUGUGGUGAAAGUCCGGGGCUCAACCUCGGAUCGGCCGUGGCGACUCGUGGGCUGGAGCACUGUAGAGGCGGGUGGAAUUCCGGGUGUAGCGGUGGAAUGCGUAGAGAUCCGGAAGAACACCAGUGGCGAAGGCGGUUCUCUGGGCCUUACCUGACGCUGAGGAGCGAAAGCGUGGGGAGCGAACAGG
This 253-nucleotide ribosomal RNA is filed under the name uncultured bacterium. Its description in RNAcentral is "partial 16S ribosomal RNA". It matches the Rfam family "Bacterial small subunit ribosomal RNA", at positions 524 to 776 of the family's 1533-position model. The record is from RNAcentral.